Molecule: long non-coding RNA, 429 nt
Organism: Dicentrarchus labrax (European seabass)
Lineage: Eukaryota; Metazoa; Chordata; Actinopteri; Moronidae
Exons: 3
Source: RefSeq, a predicted model, not a curated record
AUCUGAACCACCUUGAACUGUCCGCGUCUUAAAUAGCACCUCUGACAAGCUAUUGGCUGCUGACCCCCGGGCGGGGGAAUGGAAAACUCUGUGUAAAGUGAAUCAUUACACUGCUUUAUGAGAAGAGGACGCAGGCAGCUUGGCUCGGGGGCCCCUUUUCACUGACCUGCUGUUGCUAUGACAUCAGAGAGCAGAUAAGAGAGAGGGACUGCAGAGGAGACACAAACCUGCAUCAAGCAGCGUCAUCUCCAAAGUAUGCUGAAAGUAUCAGUCAGGUUUGGAGCAUCUGAAGCCGCCCCUGAUUAGGACGGACAGACGGACAGACAGACAGACAGACAGACGUCACGACCUCUGACACUAUAUAGGUGGACCCAAAUGCACGACUCUGGCACAGACGAAGUUGUAGAAAAAAUUCUAUUUAUUUUUUAA